AUUGAACGCUGGCGGCAUGCCUUACACAUGCAAGUCGAACGGCAGCACGGAGCUUGCUCUGGUGGCGAGUGGCGAACGGGUGAGUAAUAUAUCGGAACGUACCCUAGAGUGGGGGAUAACGUAGCGAAAGUUACGCUAAUACCGCAUACGAUCUAAGGAUGAAAGUGGGGGAUCGCAAGACCUCAUGCUCGUGGAGCGGCCGAUAUCUGAUUAGCUAGUUGGUAGGGUAAAAGCCUACCAAGGCAUCGAUCAGUAGCUGGUCUGAGAGGACGACCAGCCACACUGGAACUGAGACACGGUCCAGACUCCUACGGGAGGCAGCAGUGGGGAAUUUUGGACAAUGGGCGAAAGCCUGAUCCAGCAAUGCCGCGUGAGUGAAGAAGGCCUUCGGGUUGUAAAGCUCUUUUGUCAGGGAAGAAACGGUGAGAGCUAAUAUCUCUUGCUAAUGACGGUACCUGAAGAAUAAGCACCGGCUAACUACGUGCCAGCAGCCGCGGUAAUACGUAGGGUGCAAGCGUUAAUCGGAAUUACUGGGCGUAAAGCGUGCGCAGGCGGUUUUGUAAGUCUGAUGUGAAAUCCCCGGGCUCAACCUGGGAAUUGCAUUGGAGACUGCAAGGCUAGAAUCUGGCAGAGGGGGGUAGAAUUCCACGUGUAGCAGUGAAAUGCGUAGAUAUGUGGAGGAACACCGAUGGCGAAGGCAGCCCCCUGGGUCAAGAUUGACGCUCAUGCACGAAAGCGUGGGGAGCAAACAGGAUUAGAUACCCUGGUAGUCCACGCCCUAAACGAUGUCUACUAGUUGUCGGGUCUUAAUUGACUUGGUAACGCAGCUAACGCGUGAAGUAGACCGCCUGGGGAGUACGGUCGCAAGAUUAAAACUCAAAGGAAUUGACGGGGACCCGCACAAGCGGUGGAUGAUGUGGAUUAAUUCGAUGCAACGCGAAAAACCUUACCUACCCUUGACAUGGCUGGAAUCCUUGAGAGAUCAGGGAGUGCUCGAAAGAGAACCAGUACACAGGUGCUGCAUGGCUGUCGUCAGCUCGUGUCGUGAGAUGUUGGGUUAAGUCCCGCAACGAGCGCAACCCUUGUCAUUAGUUGCUACGAAAGGGCACUCUAAUGAGACUGCCGGUGACAAACCGGAGGAAGGUGGGGGUGACGUCAAGUCCUCAUGGCCCUUAUGGGUAGGGCUUCACACGUCAUACAAUGGUACAUACAGAGCGCCGCCAACCCGCGAGGGGGAGCUAAUCGCAGAAAGUGUAUCGUAGUCCGGAUUGUAGUCUGCAACUCGACUGCAUGAAGUUGGAAUCGCUAGUAAUCGCGGAUCAGCAUGUCGCGGUGAAUACGUUCCCGGGUCU
RNAcentral lists this ribosomal RNA (1352 nucleotides) under uncultured bacterium. RNAcentral's name for it is "bacterial SSU rRNA". It matches the Rfam family "Bacterial small subunit ribosomal RNA", at positions 28 to 1381 of the family's 1533-position model. The record is from RNAcentral.